GUCGCGGUAGCUCAAUUGGAUAGAGCAGCGGCCUUCUAAGCCGCAGGUUACGGGUUCGAUUCCUGUCCGCGACGCCA
RNAcentral lists this transfer RNA (77 nucleotides) under Burkholderia multivorans. Its description in RNAcentral is "tRNA-Arg". It matches the Rfam family "tRNA". Rfam says of the family: Transfer RNA (tRNA) molecules are approximately 80 nucleotides in length. Their secondary structure includes four short double-helical elements and three loops (D, anti-codon, and T loops). Lineage: Bacteria; Pseudomonadati; Pseudomonadota; Betaproteobacteria; Burkholderiales; Burkholderiaceae. The record is from RNAcentral.